RNAcentral lists this unclassified non-coding RNA (230 nucleotides) under uncultured fungus. RNAcentral's name for it is "sequence contains ITS1, 5.8S rRNA gene". The stretch from base 182 to 230 matches the Rfam family "5.8S ribosomal RNA", at positions 1 to 49 of the family's 154-position model. Lineage: Eukaryota; Fungi. The record is from RNAcentral.
UCUCCGUAGGUGAGCCUGCGGAGGGAUCAUUACUGAGUGAGGGCCUUCGGGCUCGACCUCCAACCCUUUGUGAACACAACUUGUUGCUUCGGGGGCGACCCUGCCGGCACUCUGUCGCCGGGCGCCCCCGGAGGCCUUCAAACACUGCAUCUUUGCGUCGGAGUUUAAGUAAAUUAAACAAAACUUUCAACAACGGAUCUCUUGGUUCUGGCAUCGAUGAAGAACGCAGC